This 253-nucleotide ribosomal RNA is filed under the name uncultured bacterium. Its description in RNAcentral is "partial 16S ribosomal RNA". It matches the Rfam family "Bacterial small subunit ribosomal RNA", at positions 524 to 776 of the family's 1533-position model. The record is from RNAcentral.
UACAGAGGUGGCAAGCGUUGUUCGGAUUUAUUGGGCGUAAAGGGUUCGUAGGCGGGUCGGAAAGUUGGAUGUGAAAUCCCACAGCUUAACUGUGGAACUGCAUUCAAAACUCCCGAUCUGGAGUGUGAGAGGGGUGAAGGGAAUUCCCGGUGUAAGGGUGAAAUCUGCAGAGAUCGGGAAGAACACCAGUCGCGAAGGCGCUUCACUGGCUCACUACUGACGCUGAAGGACGAAAGCUAGGGGAGCAAACGGG